Unclassified non-coding RNA from Bombyx mandarina (wild silkworm), 2026 nucleotides. The record is from RefSeq and is a predicted model, not a curated record. NCBI's taxonomy places the organism in Eukaryota, Metazoa, Arthropoda, Insecta, Lepidoptera, Bombycidae.
AGUAAGUUUGCUCAAGUUUGCUGUUGGAGUACUAAACAGAAAAUACAAAGUAACGUCUACUGUUUAAAAGAGUAAAGCUGCUUUCAACAUGAAAAUUGAAGAAGUGAAAAGCACAGCUAAAACGCAAAGGAUCUCUGCUCACAGUCAUAUAAAAGGCUUGGGGUUGGAUGAAAAUGGUGUUCCUAUUCAAAUGGCAGCCGGUCUCGUGGGUCAAGAGUCUGCACGUGAGGCUGCAGGGAUAGUUGUAGAUAUGAUAAGAAGUAAGAAAAUGGCCGGGCGAGCUUUACUCUUGGCAGGGCCUCCUGGUACUGGCAAAACUGCUAUAGCUCUUGCCAUCGCUCAGGAACUUGGAACUAAGGUUCCUUUCUGUCCAAUGGUUGGUAGUGAAGUUUACAGCACAGAGAUCAAGAAAACAGAGGUAUUAAUGGAGAAUUUUCGACGUGCUAUAGGCCUGCGUAUACGUGAAACCAAAGAAGUAUAUGAGGGUGAGGUAACUGAGUUAACACCUGUUGAAACAGAAAAUCCUGCUGGAGGCUAUGGAAAAACAGUAUCUCAUGUGAUCAUAGGACUAAAAACGGCCAAGGGUACCAAACAACUUAAACUUGAUCCAACUAUAUAUGAAUCGUUACAAAAGGAAAAGGUUGAAGUUGGGGAUGUCAUUUACAUUGAAGCUAAUUCUGGGGCAGUGAAGAGACAGGGUAGGAGUGAUACUUUUGCUACUGAAUUCGACCUUGAGGCUGAAGAAUAUGUUCCGCUACCCAAAGGUGAUGUACACAAAAAGAAAGAAGUUGUUCAAGAUGUAACCUUACACGAUUUGGAUUGUGCUAAUGCAAGACCGCAGGGAGGUCAUGACAUUAUGUCUAUGAUGGGACAACUCAUGAAACCAAAGAAGACUGAAAUAACAGAUAAACUUCGAAAAGAGAUCAAUAAAGUUGUGAACAAAUACAUAGAUCAAGGGAUUGCAGAACUGGUUCCUGGUGUGCUAUUCAUUGAUGAGGUACACAUGCUGGACAUUGAAACUUUCACAUACCUACAUCGAGCGUUGGAGUCCGCGAUAGCACCAAUUGUUAUAUUUGCUACAAACAGAGGGCGUUGUCAAAUCAGAGGGACAGAAGACAUUGUAUCACCACACGGCAUUCCACUAGAUCUAUUAGAUAGGUUAUUAAUAAUACGCACUCUCCCGUAUAACAAAGCAGAACUUUUACAGAUCUUAAAGCUCCGUGCGGUCACAGAAGGAAUUUCAAUCGAGGACGAAGCUUUGUCGGCGCUCUCUGAGAUUGGAGCUAACACGACGCUCAGGUACGCAGUUCAGCUGCUAACUCCGGCGAUGUUGGCCGCGCGAGCCGACGGCUGCCAGCGCAUAUCGCCGGCGCACGUGUCCUCGGUCCACACGCUGUUCCUUGACGCUAAAGCUUCAGCCAAAAUCCUCACUCAACAUUCCGAUAAAUACAUGCAGUAAAAAUAAUACAAAAAUAUAGAGUAAUUUGAAUAUCAGAUAGAUAGGAUGCUUUUUUACGUUCAUAUCGAUAAUGUCAAACUGUCCAUAUAUCAACUCACGCGCUGGUAACAGCAGAGCACGCACGUGCACGAGGUUUUCCUUCUGAUUUACAACUUAGUAAAACUUGUUAUCUUAAAUCCUUGAAUUUAAGAUUAAUGUAGCAAAAUAUUAUUUUGACCAAUGUUUGUUACAGUUUUAAAAGGGUUACUUAAAAGGCAAAACAAUCUUUUAAAUAUUUUAAAAUGAUGAAUGUCUUUUCCAAUGCAAAUAAUUAUAGAUCUAUUCAAUUAAUAAUAGAGUAUACCGGUAUUGUCUGGGAGUAUGAGUAUGUUUUUGGUGCUUAAUAUUUAAUGAAUCUUUAGACCGGUAUUUUCUCUAUACCUCUCGCCGUAUUAUUCAUAAAACACAUGUGAUAUUUACGUUUAGUAUUUCAUAAUUCAUAUUUGUAAGGAAAUGAAGAAUGUUGCGUUAAUUUGGAGUCAACCUUUAUGUUUGUCGUAUUAAAUGUGAAUUUAACAAUAAAUGAAA